Molecule: non-coding RNA, 29 nt
Filed under: Bombyx mori (domestic silkworm)
Lineage: Eukaryota; Metazoa; Arthropoda; Insecta; Lepidoptera; Bombycidae
Source: RNAcentral
UGAACUUGUACAACAUAAGGAGCAGCCUC